AAUUUUCUAUUAUGAAAGUAUAUAUGCGAAACUACUGAUUAUUUAAUAUUUUUAAUAUUCUGUAUUCGCACCAACCGUUCCUAGAGUAAGCGGCAAAGAACUUGUGGUUGGUACUCGAGAUCCAAGUUCGAGUCCUAGUUGAUUCAUAUUUACAACAAAGUUUAUUUCUAAAUAAAAUAAAUGAAGCUAAAUUUAUAUCUAAAUAAAAUAAAUGAAGCGGGUAGCGUACUAUCUAUCUCUCAAAAAAAAAAAAAAAUUCUGUAUUCGCAA
This 270-nucleotide long non-coding RNA is filed under the name Ananas comosus (pineapple). RNAcentral describes it as "long non-coding RNA (ACOM_LNC000341)". Lineage: Eukaryota; Viridiplantae; Streptophyta; Magnoliopsida; Poales; Bromeliaceae. The record is from RNAcentral.